UUUAUUAGAUAAAAAGCCAGUUCAUGCUUUUAUAGUAUGAAAAUUGGUGAUUUAUAAUAACUUAGCAAAUCGCAAAGUGAAAACAGGCGAUAAAUCAUUCAAGUUUCUGACCUAUCAGCUUUCGACGGUAUGGUAUUGGCUUACCGUGGCAGUGACGGUUAACGGGGGAUUAGGGUUCGAUUCCGGAGAGGGAGCCUGAGAAACGGCUACCACAUCUAAGGAAGGCAGCAGGCGCGCAAAUUACCCAAUUCUAACAGUUUGAGAGAGGUAGUAACAAGAAAUAACAAUACAAGGCAGUUAAAAUGCUUUGUAAUUGGAAUGAUAGAAAUUUAAACCCUUUUUAAAGUAUCAAUUGGAGGGCAAGUCUGGUGCCAGCAGCCGCGGUAAUUCCAGCUCCAAUAGCGUAUAUUAAAAUUGUUGCAGUUAAAAAGCUCGUAGUUGAAGUUCUGCUGAAAGUAACCGGUCUGCUUUUAAUAAAAGUGGUAUCUUGGUAUGUAUUUAGCAAUGAUGUCCUUUGAAGUGUUUUUUACUUUAUUGUAAUAAAGCAUAUUCAGGACUUUUACUUUGAGAAAAUUAGAGUGUUUCUAGCAGGCUAACGCUUUGAAUACUGCAGCAUGGAAUAAUAAGA
Molecule: ribosomal RNA, 628 nt
Filed under: Hepatozoon canis
Lineage: Eukaryota; Apicomplexa; Hepatozoidae
Description: bacterial SSU rRNA
Rfam family: Eukaryotic small subunit ribosomal RNA
Source: RNAcentral